GAUGAAUGCUGGCGGCGUGCCUAAUACAUGCAAGUCGAGCGGUAAGGCCCUUCGGGGUACACGAGCGGCGGACGGCUGAGUAACGCGUGGGAACAUGCCCCAAAGUGAGGGAUAACGCACCGAAAGGUGUGCUAAUACCGCAUAUGGUCUUCGGAUUAAAGGAUUUAUCCGCUUUGGGAGUGGCCCGCGUACGAUUAGAUUGUUGGUGAGGUAACGGCUCACCAAGUCGACGAUCGUUAACUGGUCUGAGAGGAUGAUCAGUCAGACUGGAACUGAGACACGGUCCAGACUCCUACGGGAGGCAGCAGUAAGGAAUCUUCCACAAUGGGCGAAAGCCUGAUGGAGCAACGCCGCGUGCAGGAUGAAGGCCUCGGUCGUAAACUGCUUUAUGAGUGAAGAAUAAUGACGGUAAACUCAUGAAUAAGCACCGGCUAACUACGUGCCAGCAG
This 449-nucleotide ribosomal RNA is filed under the name uncultured bacterium. RNAcentral's name for it is "bacterial SSU rRNA". It matches the Rfam family "Bacterial small subunit ribosomal RNA", at positions 28 to 514 of the family's 1533-position model. The record is from RNAcentral.